GACGAACGCUGGCGGCGUGCUUAACACAUGCAAGUCGAACGGUAAGGCCCUUCGGGGUACACGAGUGGCGAACGGGUGAGUAACACGUGGGUGAUCUGCCCUGCACUUCGGGAUAAGCCUGGGAAACUGGGUCUAAUACCGGAUAGGACUCCUGGCUUCAUGGUUGGGGGUGGAAAGCUUUUGCGGUGUGGGAUGGGCCCGCGGCCUAUCAGCUUGUUGGUGGGGUAAUGGCCUACCAAGGCGACGACGGGUAGCCGGCCUGAGAGGGUGACCGGUCACACUGGGACUGGGAUACGGCCCAGACUCCUACGGGAGGCAGCAGUGGGGAAUAUUGCACAAUGGGCGAAAGCCUGAUGCAGCGACGCCGCGUGAGGGAUGACGGCCUUCGGGUUGUAAACCUCUUUCAGCUAUGACGAAGCGCAAGUGACGGUAGUAGCAGAAGAAGGACCGGCCAACUACGUGCCAGCAGCCGCCGUAA
RNAcentral lists this ribosomal RNA (478 nucleotides) under uncultured bacterium. RNAcentral describes it as "partial 16S ribosomal RNA". It matches the Rfam family "Bacterial small subunit ribosomal RNA", at positions 28 to 523 of the family's 1533-position model. The record is from RNAcentral.